RNAcentral lists this ribosomal RNA (484 nucleotides) under uncultured bacterium. Its description in RNAcentral is "partial 16S ribosomal RNA". It matches the Rfam family "Bacterial small subunit ribosomal RNA", at positions 28 to 523 of the family's 1533-position model. The record is from RNAcentral.
GACGAACGCUGGCGGCGUGCUUAACACAUGCAAGUCGAACGAUGAAGCUGGAGCUUGCUCCGGUGGAUUAGUGGCGAACGGGUGAGUAACACGUGAGCAAUCUGCCCUUGACUCUGGGAUAACUGCGGGAAACUGUAGCUAAUACCGGAUACUUUCACUGGAAGGCAUCUUCUGGUGAAGAAAGAAUUUCGGUCAAGGAUGGGCUCGCGGCCUAUCAGCUUGUUGGUGAGGUAACGGCUCACCAAGGCGACGACGGGUAGCCGGCCUGAGAGGGUGACCGGCCACACUGGGACUGAGACACGGCCCAGACUCCUACGGGAGGCAGCAGUGGGGAAUAUUGCACAAUGGGCGCAAGCCUGAUGCAGCAACGCCGCGUGAGGGAUGAAGGCCCUCGGGUUGUAAACCUCUUUUAGCAGGGAAGAAGCGAAAGUGACGGUACCUGCAGAAAAAGCACCGGCUAACUACGUGCCAGCCGCCGCAGUAA